UGCCGAAUGGUGUAAUGGUAGCACGACUGGUUCUGGCCCAGUUAGUCCAGGUUCGAGCCCUGGUUCGGCAA
This 71-nucleotide transfer RNA is filed under the name Kiritimatiella glycovorans. It matches the Rfam family "tRNA". Rfam says of the family: Transfer RNA (tRNA) molecules are approximately 80 nucleotides in length. Their secondary structure includes four short double-helical elements and three loops (D, anti-codon, and T loops). The record is from Rfam by way of RNAcentral. Lineage: Bacteria; Pseudomonadati; Kiritimatiellota; Kiritimatiellia; Kiritimatiellales; Kiritimatiellaceae.